GGAUUAGGCAUGCAAGUCGAGCGAUCACGUGGAUGUAGCAAUACUUUCACGUGGGAGCGGCGGAAGGGCGAGGAACGCGUGGACAACCUGUCCGCGGGGUGGGGAUAACUCCGUGAAAACGGAGCUAAUACCGAAUGCGGCGUCCCGGCACAUGCCGGGAGCGUCAAAGGGCGGGACCGCAAGGCCGCCCCCCCGGGGAAGGGUCCGCGUACCAUCAGCUAGUUGGCGGGGUAACGGCCCACCAAGGCUCACGGUUAGCUGGUCUGAGAGGACGACCAGCCGCACUGGGACUGAGAUACUGCCCAGACUCCUACGGGAGGCUGCAGUCGAGGAUCAUUCGCAAUGGGGGAAACCCUGACGAUGCGACGCUGCGUGGAGGAUGAAGGCCCUCGGGUUGUAAACUCCUGUCAUGAGGGGAGAGGCGGAGGCGGCGAACAGCCGCCCGAGUUGACGGUACCUCAAGAGGAAGCCACGGCUAACUCUGUGCCAGCAGCCGCGGUAAUA
This 504-nucleotide ribosomal RNA is filed under the name uncultured Planctomycetota bacterium. Its description in RNAcentral is "bacterial SSU rRNA". It matches the Rfam family "Bacterial small subunit ribosomal RNA", at positions 46 to 525 of the family's 1533-position model. The record is from RNAcentral. Lineage: Bacteria; Pseudomonadati; Planctomycetota.